This is an RNA transcript of Solanum pennellii, 2092 nucleotides long. It is a transcript of the gene named putative FBD-associated F-box protein At5g44940, with no coding region annotated. NCBI's taxonomy places the organism in Eukaryota, Viridiplantae, Streptophyta, Magnoliopsida, Solanales, Solanaceae. The record is from RefSeq and is a predicted model, not a curated record. The transcript has 3 exons.
UGAUGGGAGGCUAGUAGUAAUCGAUUCCCAAUUGAAAAUGGAAAUGAACCCUAACAGCAAACGGCAGCACCUACCAACAUCAGAAACCCUAAUGGAAGAAAGUGUUGAUGGAGAAGACAGAAUAUCAGAAUUGCCUGUGCAUAUCAUUCAUCACAUCUUAUGCUACACUGACCUCAGCUCGCAUGACGGGGCGAUAACUAGUGUUUUAUCGAAGAAAUGGUACUAUUAUUGGCUCUCUAGACCUUGUUUGGUGUUCCGUCAAUUUGAUGGCGAUCUGAAAGAUUUUGUCCCGGUGGUUGAUCGACCGCUACAAACCCAUGUCGAACACAACUUAAAUCUUGCAAAAUUCUUCAUGUCAUAUUGGGAUCGAGAAUUGGAUCCUCAUUUGGAUCGUUGGAUUGAAUCGGCUGUUAAAGUUGAUGUUGAGUUUAUUGUGAUUCAUGCUCCGGAUAUUGAUUCGUCGCAUUAUAGCUUGCCUGAUGCUUUUUAUAAAGCGAAGAAGAUGGAUGCACUGUGGUUAAGCAAUUGCAAGUUUGAAUUUUAUAUUAGCACCACUUGUAUAAGAUUUUGUUGUCUUCGCGAGGUUUGUUUGCAUAAUGCUUAUAUUUCAGAUGCUCAAAUGCGAAGUGUUUUAGAUAAAUGCCCAUCCAUCAGGAGCUUAACUCUAAUGUCUUGCAAAGGUAUGAGCAAAUUGUAUGUUGUUGGACGGUUACAUCUAGAUUUUUUGAAUAUAUCAUCAUGCAAACUCGAUAGUGUGAUUGUCCAAGCUCCGAAACUUGGACGCUUUAAAUAUACAGAAGAACAUACUGAUCAGGGAAAUCAUCAUCCUUGCGAAAUUGCUAUUUUGGAGGUUAACAAUACUUUACACACACUCGAGCUCAAUGGUGCCAGCAUCACAGACCAACAGUUUCGAGAUAUGUAUGACAAGUGCCCAAACAUUUCAAGCUUGUAUCUAACAAGCUGCAAUAAGCUGAAAUGUGUAGAGAUUCAGAGUGCAAAACUCAAGAAAGUCAACAUAUUUAAGUUUGAGAGUAUAGAAAAAAUGACGAUUGAAGCUCCAAAUUUGUUGCAAUUUAAUUUUGAGGGUGAGAAAAUGCCCAUCUUAUCUCUGGGACCUUCUCUUGAAAGUGUCCGACUCAAUUUCUUCUUGCCGAGUACAGUAAUAUCAAACUUUGGAGAUAUGGAUAGCAGUUGGUACACAAACCUUAAUCACUUUGUUCAAAACUUCAACUAUUCUGAAGGUUUGAUGUUAAUAGUAUAUUGCCAGGAGACCAAUAACAUCCUUUUUUAUGAAAAUACAAGAGAAAUUUUUAUUCCACCAAGUCGUAAUGUCGGGAUAUUCGUUGUACCCAUCCGGAACAUUGAAUUGCUCAUGGUAUCGAUAUUGAUCAACCGUCCCAGCAUCAUAUCCAUACUUCCAUGUACAGAUAGCAAAGCACUCCAGGUGUUUCCUGCAUUAGAGCGGUGUAUUCAUAAUCAAAUUGUGGUAACGAAUGUCCAUUAAGUACCACUUUUUUACACAAGUAUCGUGUAUUAGAAGAAGUCAUCAGUUGUACUGGGACAUCUGAGGAGGAAAUGACCUCCAUUUGGUAUACCUGGUUGAAAUCUACGCCUCUAAUUGACAAAGUGAAUAGUUUCAUGUUCAAAUGGAAAAAACAAGCUUAGACCGAAGAAUCUUGGGGAAUUCAUCAUACAGUGUUUAUUAGUGUGUUCAGAAUAAAGUUCAGUUAAUCAGCUGUUGGCUCUGUCAAAUCCAUGAAAGGUUCUUUAACCUUGCUCUAGCUCUAAAUAAAUUGUGCUCAAAUAUGUGGUUUACUUUCGUUUGUUGGAUUUUACGGGAUGAAGUUCAUCUGUUAACCAACAGCAUAAGAGGUCUUCAUUUCAUUAUUUUUUUUUCCUGGCUCUGCCUCUUCUUCACAUUCCAUUCGAUUUCUCUCAUGCUUAGACUACUUGGAGGUGAUUAAAAAGAAGUGAGCACUUGAAGUAUAUAUAUGUAAUGAUGGAUGCAUAUGCCUCCUACUUGUUCUGAAAUCUGAAGUGUAAUAUUUGAAGUGUAAUAUGUUUCUAAUGUAUAAUUUUCUUUGUCAUCUGA